Molecule: ribosomal RNA, 468 nt
Filed under: uncultured bacterium
Lineage: Bacteria
Description: partial 16S ribosomal RNA
Rfam family: Bacterial small subunit ribosomal RNA
Source: RNAcentral
GACGAACGCUGGCGGCGUGCUUAACACAUGCAAGUCGAACGGAAAGUCCCUGCUUUUUUGGGUUGCUCUAGUGGCGAACGUGUGAGUAACACGUUAGUAACCUUCCCUUGACUUUGGGAUAACUUCAGGAAACUGGGGCUAAUACCGGAUAUGAGCUCCUGCUGCAUGGUGGGGGUUGGAAAGUUUCGGCGGUUGGGGAUGGACUCGCGGCUUCUCAGCUUGGUGUUGGGGUAGUGGCUUACCAAGGCUUUGACGGGUAGCCGGCCUGAGAGGGUGACUGGCCACAUUGGGAAUGAGAUACGGCCCAGACUCAUAAGGGAGGAAGCAGUGGGGAAGAUUGCACAAGGGGAGGAAGCCUGAAGCAGCAACGUAGCGUGCGGGAUGAAGGCCUGGGGAUUGUAAACCGCGUACGCGGGUGACGAAGAGUGAGUGACGGUAAUGGGUAAAGAAGAAACGGCUAAAUACGGG